UAUACAACUUUCAGCAACGGAUCUCUUGGCUCUCGCAUCGAUGAAGAACGCAGCGAAAUGCGAUAAGUAAUGUGAAUUGCAGAAUUCAGUGAAUCAUCGAAUCUUUGAACGCACCUUGCGCUCCUUGGUAUUCCGAGGAGCAUGCCUGUUUGAGUGUCAUUA
Molecule: ribosomal RNA, 162 nt
Filed under: Phlegmacium viscidoamarum
Lineage: Eukaryota; Fungi; Basidiomycota; Agaricomycetes; Agaricales; Cortinariaceae
Description: Cortinarius viscidoamarus 5.8S ribosomal RNA
Rfam family: 5.8S ribosomal RNA
About the family: 5.8S ribosomal RNA (5.8S rRNA) is a component of the large subunit of the eukaryotic ribosome. It is transcribed by RNA polymerase I as part of the 45S precursor that also contains 18S and 28S rRNA. Functionally, it is thought that 5.8S rRNA may be involved in ribosome translocation.
Source: RNAcentral